RNAcentral lists this ribosomal RNA (319 nucleotides) under uncultured Porphyrobacter sp. RNAcentral's name for it is "bacterial SSU rRNA". It matches the Rfam family "Bacterial small subunit ribosomal RNA", at positions 1061 to 1382 of the family's 1533-position model. The record is from RNAcentral. Lineage: Bacteria; Pseudomonadati; Pseudomonadota; Alphaproteobacteria; Sphingomonadales; Erythrobacteraceae.
CGUGUCGUGAGAUGUUGGGUUAAGUCCCGCAACGAGCGCAACCCUCGUCCUUAGUUGCCAUCAUUAAGUUGGGCACUUUAAGGAAACUGCCGGUGAUAAGCCGGAGGAAGGUGGGGAUGACGUCAAGUCCUCAUGGCCCUUACAGGCUGGGCUACACACGUGCUACAAUGGCAUCUACAGUGGGCAGCUAUUCCGCAAGGAUGCGCUAAUCUCCAAAAGAUGUCUCAGUUCGGAUUGUCCUCUGCAACUCGAGGGCAUGAAGGCGGAAUCGCUAGUAAUCGCGGAUCAGCAUGCCGCGGUGAAUACGUUCCCAGGCCUU